UUCGCAAUGCCCGAAAGGGUGACGAGGCGACGCCGCGUGUGGGAAGGAGGCCUUCGGGUUGUAAACCACUGUCAGGAGUUAAGAAAUGUAAGGGUGCUAAUAGUAUCCUUACUUGACUAAGGCUCCAGAGGAAGCCACGGCUAACUCUGUGCCAGCAGCCGCGGUAAUACAGAGGUGGCAAGCGUUGUUCGGAAUUAUUGGGCGUAAAGAGCACGUAGGCGGUUCUGCAAGUCGGCUGUGAAAGCCUUCCGCUCAACGGAAGAACAGCAGUUGAUACUACAGGACUGGAAUGCGGGAGGGGAGAGUGGAACUUCUGGUGGAGCGGUGAAAUGCGUAGAUAUCAGAAGGAACGCCGGCGGCGAAAGCGACUCUCUGGCCCGUAACUGACGCUGAGUGUGCGAAAGCUAGGGGAGCAAACGGGAUUAGAUACCCCGGUAGUCCUAGCCGUAAACGAUGGGCACUAAGUAGAGGGGUUUU
RNAcentral lists this ribosomal RNA (477 nucleotides) under uncultured bacterium. Its description in RNAcentral is "bacterial SSU rRNA". It matches the Rfam family "Bacterial small subunit ribosomal RNA", at positions 365 to 832 of the family's 1533-position model. The record is from RNAcentral.